UUCCAGACUCCUACGGGAGGCAGCAGUGAGGAAUAUUGGUCAAUGGACGAGAGUCUGAACCAGCCAAGUAGCGUGAAGGAUGACUGCCCUAUGGGUUGUAAACUUCUUUUAUAAAGGAAUAAAACGAGGCACGUGUGCCUUUUUGCAUGUACUUUAUGAAUAAGGAUCGGCUAACUCCGUGCCAGCAGCCGCGGUAAUACGGAGGAUCCGAGCGUUAUCCGGAUUUAUUGGGUUUAAAGGGUGCGCAGGCGGCGCGGCAAGCCGGCGGUCAAAUCGCGGGGCUCAACCCCGCCCAGCCGUCGGAACUGCCGGGCUAGAGUGGGCGAGAAGUGCGCGGAAUGCGUGGUGUAGCGGUGAAAUGCAUAGAUAUCACGCAGAACUCCGAUUGCGAAGGCAGCGCACCGGCGCCCUACUGACGCUCAGGCACGAAAGCGUGGGUAUCGAACAGGAUUAGAUACCCCUGUAA
RNAcentral lists this ribosomal RNA (466 nucleotides) under uncultured bacterium. Its description in RNAcentral is "bacterial SSU rRNA". It matches the Rfam family "Bacterial small subunit ribosomal RNA", at positions 329 to 793 of the family's 1533-position model. The record is from RNAcentral.